AGUGCCUAGCUGGGGUGGCCCUUGGGAGGACACCAGAGAGGCUCCUGAGGGGUGGUGGGGAAGGUCCUUGCCGCCUUGGGGCCUUUCAUCUGUUCCCUCCUCAGAAGUUGAAUGAGUGAAUGAAUGAGUGAGUGAGUGAGUGAGUGAGUGAGUGGGGACAGGCUUCAACACAAGCACUCCAUCUGCUUCCGGGGGAGAGGAAAGGUGGAGGACUUCAUGUACCAAGAUGGCUGCUACUCCAGGGUAGCACCCAGAGCUCCUAAAUCCUGACUCCAUCUGUUGCAGGCUGGGUGACCUUGAUUUCUUCUAAAAAUGCAAGUAGGGUUAAAGGCACGUCCUUGUCUUACUCCCUUGGCCUUGCCUUUCAUGCCCCAUGCGGUGGAUGCCUUUCCACACUUACCAGAGACCACCCAUUCAUACGCCACAGCUGCAAAGAAUUCUAUUGGACAGAUGACUCAACUGGUCUCCACUUCCAGACUCAGGGUUGUGUUAGAUUCUGAUAUUACACCAACCUGAGGUAAGCUGCUUUGCAUGCAUCCUAUUCACAGUGUGUCAGGUGACAGCCCAGAAGGGAGCUUGCUCCAUGGAAAACUUCCUAAGUGGUGACUUGAGAAGCAACCACCACUCUCCCCAGGGACAGGUCACAGUGAGCUGUUGUCUCACCCUUGUCAUGGUGAGGCCAUGGCAUUUACGCUUAGCUUUUAUUUUACAAUUCUUCGGAGUGAGACUGAACACCAAACCCUGAAGAUGAGCUGUGUCUUUCCUGUGACUCCCUUGUUUUGUUUUCUGCUAGAUCGGACCUGGCUUUCACCUCUACCAGCUCUUUACAGACUAGAGACGUGGCCUUGGUCUAUGAUAGGAGCUACAAAAAUAGUUUUUUUCCCCUCCUAUUUGUCUUUUGAUUUUUACACCAGGCUCUUCCUGAUAUUUAUUUUUGACAUGUAGAAUUAUUUCACAAUUUGAAUUCCUCAAUUGUGUUCUUUGUUGGCUUUGGGAUUCUGAAUUACAAUUAAAAGAAGAGAAAGGAAUUCUCUCGAGACCUUUCUCAAGGCAAUGGCUGUUGGAUGUAGCUCACGCCUCCUGAGCCCUGCAGGGUGACAGUGUAGCUUUCCUUCUGCUGCAUGACACUAUUUUAAGGUAGACAUGAACGAACAUCUCUCUACUCACCCCAGCUAAGGAACCAAUGCACAUCAAAGACAAAUUUCACCAAAUCCCAAUUGGUGAACCAGUGGGUUUUAUUUGGGGUCACUUACAGGAAUGUGGGUGAGGUGUUACUUACAGGAGCAGUAAUGACUCAAAGACAGCUGCUUCACCAAAGCCCACCACAGCAUGGGUGAUUGUACUUGUUUGUUUGUUUGUUUUUUCACUCUUUGGGGGCCCACCACCCAGCUCCCAAAUAAAUACACAGAGAUUUAUUCUAAUGAAUGCCUGGCCUUAUCUUGGCUUGUUUCUAGCCAGCUUUUCUAACUAAAAUUAACCUGUUUCUCCAAAGAGGGCC
RNAcentral lists this long non-coding RNA (1498 nucleotides) under Cricetulus griseus (Chinese hamster). RNAcentral's name for it is "lncRNA (ENSCGRG00015037016.1)". Lineage: Eukaryota; Metazoa; Chordata; Mammalia; Rodentia; Cricetidae. The record is from RNAcentral.